UGUAGAACUAAUUCUAAGAACUAAUUUUAUUAAACUAACUGAUGACUAAAUUAUACUAAUUGACUAUUUGGAAACUAUGACAGAGACGCUAGAAAAAGCGCUAGCUCCAUUAUUGAUUAUUGGAUCAUUUUUCAAUUUGGGCAUAUUCGAAUAUCCUCGUGGACAAUUCAGGCCGUGUCUCUCUUAUUUAUAUGUUUUGGCCAUAUGGAGCUUUUUUAUGUACUUCUAUUUCUAUCCAACGUAUUACUUGAAUUAUUUACGGAUUAAAAUUAUAAACACAUAUGUGAAUUGAAAAUGUGCUUACGUGAACUUGCUAUAGUAGACGAUACGUUGGAAGCUCUCGGAGAACCAAAGAAAUACCAAAGGCUACGUAAUUGGAUAAUUCGAAUAAUAAUCGGAUGGAUUGCAUACAUAUUUUAUGAAUUAGUAUAUUGGAAUUAUAUUGCUUUCUUUGUUUUUAAUUAUGACAUAAUUUCCUGGUUUCUUCUUGUGUUUCGUUUUGGGUUUCUGAACUAUUAUCCGCCAAACAUCAUUAUUUUAAGUACUCUGAUUUCUGCAGCUAUUCUUCGGCAAAAACGCGACACAAACUCGAAAAAAAAUAUGUGCCGUAUACGGGGAAGAUGCCGUAAAUGAUCGCAUGUGCCAGAAGUGGUUUGCUAAAUUUCAUUCAGGAGAAAUGAAUAUUGAAGAUGCUCCUCGCUGCCCGGCCAGUUACAACCGAUGUCGACCAAAUUACAGCUUUAAUUGAUUCCGAUCGGCAAAUCACAGUUCGGAAAAUCGCAACAAGGUUAAACAUUGGCAAAUCAACUGUUUCCGAACAUUUAAACAAGCUCCAGAUUAUAAAAAAGCUUGAUGUUUGGGUGCCGCACGACUUAACUGAAAAAAAUCGUAUUAAUCGCAUUUUCAUCAGCGAUUUGCUAUACAAACGCAACGAAUACGAAUAUCCAUUUUUCAUAGCGUAUCAUAAGGCGACGAAAAGUGAAUAAUUUAUAAUAAUGUCGAGCGUAAAAGGUCAUGGAGCAAGCGAGGUCAACCGCCAUCGACCACUUCGAAGGCAGGCUUACAUCCAAAGAAGGUAAUGCUUUGCAUUUGAUGGAAUUAGAAGGGGAUAGUGUACUAUGAGCUAUUACCGAUUCGGACAAGUAUUGUUCACAAUUGGAUAAAUUGAAGGUGAAAAUCGCCAAAAAGUGUCCGGAAUUGAUCAAUAGGAAAGGCUUCGUUUUUCAUCAUGACAACGCCAACCUCAUACAAGUUUAUAGAUUCGACAAAAAUUAUUGGCGUUUGGCUGGGAUGUUUUGCCUCAUUCCCCCGACAUUGCACCCUCGGAUUAUCAUU
Long non-coding RNA from Atta colombica, 1335 nucleotides. RefSeq lists it as uncharacterized. The transcript is spliced from 3 exons. NCBI's taxonomy places the organism in Eukaryota, Metazoa, Arthropoda, Insecta, Hymenoptera, Formicidae. The record is from RefSeq and is a predicted model, not a curated record.